Molecule: ribosomal RNA, 465 nt
Filed under: Vreelandella stevensii
Lineage: Bacteria; Pseudomonadati; Pseudomonadota; Gammaproteobacteria; Oceanospirillales; Halomonadaceae
Description: partial 16S ribosomal RNA
Rfam family: Bacterial small subunit ribosomal RNA
Source: RNAcentral
CCUACGGGAUGCAGCAGUGGGGAAUAUUGGACAAUGGGCGAAAGCCUGAUCCAGCCAUGCCGCGUGUGUGAAGAAGGCCUUCGGGUUGUAAAGCACUUUCAGUGGGGAAGAAAGCCUUGGGGCUAAUACCCUCGAGGAAGGACAUCACCCACAGAAGAAGCACCGGCUAACUCCGUGCCAGCAGCCGCGGUAAUACGGAGGGUGCGAGCGUUAAUCGGAAUUACUGGGCGUAAAGCGCGCGUAGGCGGUCUGAUAAGCCGGUUGUGAAAGCCCCGGGCUCAACCUGGGAACGGCAUCCGGAACUGUCAGGCUAGGGUGCAGGAGAGGAAGGUAGAAUUCCCGGUGUAGCGGUGAAAUGCGUAGAGAUCGGGAGGAAUACCAGUGGCGAAGGCGGCCUUCUGGACUGACACUGACGCUGAGGUGCGAAAGCGUGGGUAGCAAACAGGAUUAGAUACCCGAGUAGUC